This is a long non-coding RNA of Haliotis rubra (blacklip abalone), 592 nucleotides long. RefSeq lists it as uncharacterized. The record is from RefSeq and is a predicted model, not a curated record. The transcript has 3 exons. Lineage: Eukaryota; Metazoa; Mollusca; Gastropoda; Lepetellida; Haliotidae.
UUCAGACGUACCCCUGUUCUUCCAGUUUAUUUGCUCAGAUCAACACUUCAUCUCUGUAUUGGAUGAGGAUGAAUCCACAAGAACGGCUUAAGAGUAGGAAACUACUCUGCCCCAUCCUCGAGACGAACGAGCGUCAGUCUAACCCUCUCAGUAUAAGAACCCCAGAACUGCAUCACGAUUUACUUGGUCAAUACAUGGACCUAAAAGCUCAAGUCGGAGAUUUGGAAGAAACGUAAGCGCUGUUUCGACUCAUGCCUUCUUGUGAUGUCAUCAGUCACAGAAGUUUAUAUCAUUGAAAUAUAUUCUAGACAUGAUAAAUAGGCUCAGUUUAGUAUGAUAGCGAAGUUCUUUCGAUGUGACCCCAUAAGUUGAACAUUUCACCCGUAUAAUCUUAUUCUCUCAAAACUGCAACUAUAGAACAUGGCAAAAUGAUAUCUGAAAACGUUAUAUACGUUCAUCAUUGCCCAUUUUGGUGUACCCGGCUCUAAUGCAGCUGCAAUGUUUCUCAUGUAGGGGGGGAAAAUCUAUCCAGUGAUGAUGUUAGAAAAGUGCAUCUCAUUGUAAUUUUAUAGGCAUAGAUUUUGUGAGCUAU